Molecule: transfer RNA, 74 nt
Filed under: Candidatus Heimdallarchaeota archaeon
Lineage: Archaea; Promethearchaeati; Candidatus Heimdallarchaeota
Also listed under: 4 other names
Description: tRNA-Asn
Rfam family: tRNA
About the family: Transfer RNA (tRNA) molecules are approximately 80 nucleotides in length. Their secondary structure includes four short double-helical elements and three loops (D, anti-codon, and T loops).
Source: RNAcentral
GCCUCCGUAGCUCAGUUAGGUAGAGCACCCGGCUGUUAACCGGGCGGUCGCAUGUUCGAUCCAUGCCGGGGGCG